GAAAGGGUUAAUGCUGUUGUUGUGAAGUAGGGUUAUGGGGUGAGGGGGAAGCAGUGGGAGGGAUGCGAGGCGUCCGCUCCCUGUUCACCCGGUGACCGUGUUGGAUGUCCUGUCCCCACCUCCCUGGCAUCGCUUGCUCUCCCCCUUCCCUGCUGCCGCGAUGACCAGGGAGAAGAUCCGCUCCCUAUCUACGCUGACAAGUCAUGUAAGGAGAAGAGCUGCUAGAGGACGGGGGCGGCACCUUCACCCGGGAUGUAGCCAUGGAUGCUCCCAGCCCAAGUGUGUGUUCUACUGUUGUGCAAGCAGACCGGCUAUCCUGUGCAAAUGGGCCUGUAUCAGGAGACCUCUGUGAGGAAGUUGGAUGCUGCUAUUCCGCAACUGACUCUACAAUGCCCUGUUACUAUGGUAACAAAUGAAAAGAAAAAAAAAAUACAGCUUGCCAUGGACCAGUAAACAGGGGUACUUUAGAGGUAAGUAGCAGUAAGGAGUG
Molecule: long non-coding RNA, 490 nt
Organism: Pseudophryne corroboree (corroboree frog)
Lineage: Eukaryota; Metazoa; Chordata; Amphibia; Anura; Myobatrachidae
Exons: 3
Source: RefSeq, a predicted model, not a curated record